This 81-nucleotide non-coding RNA is filed under the name Vibrio gallaecicus. RNAcentral describes it as "Cyclic di-GMP-I riboswitch". It matches the Rfam family "c-di-GMP-I riboswitch aptamer". From Rfam's summary of the family: GEMM was predicted in a large-scale screen for bacterial structured RNA regulatory elements. Lineage: Bacteria; Pseudomonadati; Pseudomonadota; Gammaproteobacteria; Vibrionales; Vibrionaceae. The record is from RNAcentral.
CGCACAGGGCAAACCACUUUAAAGAGUGAGACGCAAAGCCUCCGGCCUAAGCCUAUAUUGGUAUGGUAGCGGGGUUGCCGA